AAAAUGGAUUGAACGAGAGAGUUUGAUCCUGGCUCAGAUUGAACGCUGGCGGCAUGCCUAACACAUGCAAGUCGAACGGUAGCAGGCCUUCGGGUGCUGACGAGUGGCGGACGGGUGAGUAAUGCGUAGGAAUCUGUCUUUUAGUGGGGGACAACCCAGGGAAACUUGGGCUAAUACCGCAUGAGCCCUGAGGGGGAAANCGGGGGAUCUUCGGACCUACGCGCUAAGAGAAGAGCCUAACGUCUGAUUAGCUAGUUGGUAGGGUAAAGGCCUACCAAGGCGACGAUCAGUAGCUGGUCUGAGAGGACGACCAGCCACACUGGG
Molecule: ribosomal RNA, 324 nt
Filed under: uncultured bacterium
Lineage: Bacteria
Description: bacterial SSU rRNA
Rfam family: Bacterial small subunit ribosomal RNA
Source: RNAcentral